Molecule: transfer RNA, 70 nt
Filed under: Dipodomys ordii (Ord's kangaroo rat)
Lineage: Eukaryota; Metazoa; Chordata; Mammalia; Rodentia; Heteromyidae
Rfam family: tRNA
About the family: Transfer RNA (tRNA) molecules are approximately 80 nucleotides in length. Their secondary structure includes four short double-helical elements and three loops (D, anti-codon, and T loops). Further hydrogen bonds mediate the characteristic L-shaped molecular structure. tRNAs have two regions of fundamental functional importance: the anti-codon, which is responsible for specific mRNA codon recognition, and the 3' end, to which the tRNAs corresponding amino acid is attached (by aminoacyl-tRNA synthetases). tRNAs cope with the degeneracy of the genetic code in two manners: having more than one tRNA (with a specific anti-codon) for a particular amino acid; and 'wobble' base-pairing, i.e. permitting non-standard base-pairing at the 3rd anti-codon position.
Source: Rfam by way of RNAcentral
GGUAAGGUUGCUCAGUGGUAGAGUGCUUGCCUUGCAUGCAUGAGGCCCUGGGUUCGAUUCCUCAGCACCA